This 532-nucleotide ribosomal RNA is filed under the name Staphylococcus sp. HMSC069E10. RNAcentral describes it as "bacterial SSU rRNA". It matches the Rfam family "Bacterial small subunit ribosomal RNA", at positions 1008 to 1533 of the family's 1533-position model. The record is from RNAcentral. Lineage: Bacteria; Bacillati; Bacillota; Bacilli; Caryophanales; Staphylococcaceae.
GAAGUUUCCCCUUCGGGGGACAAAGUGACAGGUGGUGCAUGGUUGUCGUCAGCUCGUGUCGUGAGAUGUUGGGUUAAGUCCCGCAACGAGCGCAACCCUUAAGCUUAGUUGCCAUCAUUAAGUUGGGCACUCUAAGUUGACUGCCGGUGACAAACCGGAGGAAGGUGGGGAUGACGUCAAAUCAUCAUGCCCCUUAUGAUUUGGGCUACACACGUGCUACAAUGGACAAUACAAAGGGCAGCGAAACCGCGAGGUCAAGCAAAUCCCAUAAAGUUGUUCUCAGUUCGGAUUGUAGUCUGCAACUCGACUACAUGAAGCUGGAAUCGCUAGUAAUCGUAGAUCAGCAUGCUACGGUGAAUACGUUCCCGGGUCUUGUACACACCGCCCGUCACACCACGAGAGUUUGUAACACCCGAAGCCGGUGGAGUAACCAUUUGGAGCUAGCCGUCGAAGGUGGGACAAAUGAUUGGGGUGAAGUCGUAACAAGGUAGCCGUAUCGGAAGGUGCGGCUGGAUCACCUCCUUUCUAAGGA